RNAcentral lists this transfer RNA (90 nucleotides) under Flavobacteriales bacterium. RNAcentral describes it as "tRNA-Ser". It matches the Rfam family "tRNA". From Rfam's summary of the family: Transfer RNA (tRNA) molecules are approximately 80 nucleotides in length. Their secondary structure includes four short double-helical elements and three loops (D, anti-codon, and T loops). Further hydrogen bonds mediate the characteristic L-shaped molecular structure. tRNAs have two regions of fundamental functional importance: the anti-codon, which is responsible for specific mRNA codon recognition, and the 3' end, to which the tRNAs corresponding amino acid is attached (by aminoacyl-tRNA synthetases). tRNAs cope with the degeneracy of the genetic code in two manners: having more than one tRNA (with a specific anti-codon) for a particular amino acid; and 'wobble' base-pairing, i.e. permitting non-standard base-pairing at the 3rd anti-codon position. The record is from RNAcentral. RNAcentral also lists the same sequence under 1 other name. Lineage: Bacteria; Pseudomonadati; Bacteroidota; Flavobacteriia; Flavobacteriales.
GGAGAGGUGCCAGAGCGGUCGAACGGGCUACCCUGGAAAGGUAGUGUACUCGUAAGGGUACCGAGGGUUCGAAUCCCUCUCUCUCCGCCA